RNAcentral lists this long non-coding RNA (1031 nucleotides) under Bos indicus x Bos taurus (hybrid cattle). Its description in RNAcentral is "lncRNA (ENSBIXG00005000701.1)". Lineage: Eukaryota; Metazoa; Chordata; Mammalia; Artiodactyla; Bovidae. The record is from RNAcentral.
AUGCAGUAUGCAAUUCUGUAUUCUUUUAGCAAAUAUAAACAGUACAUGACAAUUGUUGUUGUUGACAAUUAGGUACCUGCUUUCAGUUUUUUACUAAGUGUAGAACUUGUUGAAAAUAAUGUCGAGAUGGAAGGUGUAAUAGUUUGAAGUGGGGGUCGAGAGUGUGCGGAGGUGUGUACACUAGCGUGUAUGAGCAGCAGGGAAGGUGAAGGAGUGCGCAGAUGUUAACACCGAGGGGUGAAGGAAAGUUACAGGGCUCAAAAUAGCCUAGAGUUAAAACUCCCCUCCAGGUCCUCCCCACCAUUCUAUGCAAAACAAAGAACUCUCUCACUCGAUGGAAAAAAAAAUGGACAUUAAGGUUGACUGCCCAGCUCCCAGCCGGUCCCAGCCUCUGGCCGAUCUCCAGAAUUCCUUGCCCCAGCUGUUUAAGAGGUAACUAUUCCGAACAACCUUGGAGAACAGGCCCCCUUAAGAUAGUAGAUUUCUACAUAUAAGCCUAUAUAUACUUACUCUUUUCUUGGGUUAGUGCAGCAGCUCACUAAUCUGACUGCUGCCCCUUCUCGCCUCGUUAAGGGUGAUCUGUUCUUGUAAAGUGCCUGUCUCCUAUUUCCGAACCUCUCUUUCUCUAACUCCCUUACCCUACACGGGGAACUCAAGCUCUCAACGCUGGCAUCCCACCCCGUUAGCCGGCUUUGCGUUCCUACUGCCUACUGCCAGAGAUGAAACCCACGGAGAAGUUCUAAGGAAGGCAAUGGCAGCUCUGGCCGAUGGCGUCACCACCACGGCCAGGGUGGCAUUGUUUGUAGCUUCGCGCCGGGCUGGGGCAGCAGUAUUUACGGUGAUCUCUGGCCAAAGAGGUAGCCAGCCCCUGAACCAGCGGCAAAGGCGGAAUGGCCCUGGGGGACGGUGAGGGGCCGGGGCCCCGGCUCACCUGUGCGCCCCAGCCUGCCGGCCGCAGCGCCACGCCGGGUCCGCGCGCAGUCCCCUCCCGCCCCUCGGCGGGGGCUAGGGCGUGAGCCCCGAGGCCCGCG